Molecule: non-coding RNA, 238 nt
Organism: Pelobates cultripes (western spadefoot toad)
Lineage: Eukaryota; Metazoa; Chordata; Amphibia; Anura; Pelobatidae
Source: the annotation of a GenBank genome assembly
ACAUCCCUCUUAAGCUUCCAAACUUAAAGGGACACUAUAGUCACCAGAACAACUACAGCUUAUUGUAUUUGUUCUGGUAAGUAGAAUCAUUCCAUUUAGGCCUUUUGCAGUAAACACUGUCUUUUCAGAGAAAAUAACUCCACUGGCCACUCCUUAGAUGGCUGCUAGAGGUACUUCCUGGGGCAGUACUGCCUAGUGUGCAGCACUGCCAUUCAGUGUCUCCACCCUCUGCAUGCAG